RNAcentral lists this ribosomal RNA (332 nucleotides) under uncultured bacterium. Its description in RNAcentral is "bacterial SSU rRNA". It matches the Rfam family "Bacterial small subunit ribosomal RNA", at positions 568 to 898 of the family's 1533-position model. The record is from RNAcentral.
CGUGUAGGCGGCUUGGUAAGUCGGAUGUGAAAGCCCUGGGCUUAACCCAGGAAGUGCAUUUGAAACUGCCAGGCUUGAGUAAGGGAGAGGGAAGUGGAAUUCCUGGUGUAGAGGUGAAAUUCGUAGAGAUCAGGAGGAACACCGGUGGCGAAGGCGACUUCCUGGCCCUAUACUGACGCUGAGACGCGAGAGCGUGGGGAGCAAACAGGAUUAGAUACCCUGGUAGUCCACGCCGUAAACGAUGUUCACUAGGUGUUGGGAGUAUUGACCCUCUCAGUGCCGAAGCUAACGCAUUAAGUGAACCGCCUGGGGAGUACGAUCGCAAGAUUAAA